Molecule: long non-coding RNA, 426 nt
Organism: Gallus gallus (chicken)
Lineage: Eukaryota; Metazoa; Chordata; Aves; Galliformes; Phasianidae
Exons: 3
Source: RefSeq, a predicted model, not a curated record
CCUCUAUUUGAGGAAGACUGUCAAGAGGUUACAGCAUUGCUUGUCACUACAGCAUGAAGCUGAAGAGGUUACCAAUAAGAUCCUAAGGGCAAUCUGCCAUUGCUGGGAAGAUCUCCCAUUCUACAGUCAACCCUACUGCUUUUGUUAGCUAUUCCAUUGGGUGACCUUUCUAAGGCCUCUUGUCACCUGUCACAGCUCAUCUCCUGUUCUCAUUCUUUAAAUUCAGGAGGAAGAGAAAAAAAAAAGAAAACAACAAUAUGUGGAUAUUCCAAGUCAUGGCAAAUGAGGAGCAUGAGACAAGGAACAAAAAAGUCAACAGAAAUAAUGUAAAAUACAGCUAUGAUCAGAAGCCUUGGCACCAGUUCAGAGAAAUAUACAAAGAGAUCAUACUGUUUUCCGACGAUAGUCAUGGCUUAGAAGUUGCUC